UACGUAGGGGGCAAGCGUUGUCCGGAAUUACUGGGCGUAAAGCGUGCGCAGGCGGUUUGCUAAGACAGGUGUGAAAUCCCCGGGCUUAACCUGGGAACUGCGCUUGUGACUGGCAGGCUAGAGUACGGUAGAGGGGGGUGGAAUUCCUGGUGUAGCAGUGAAAUGCGUAGAUAUCGGGAGGAACACCAGUGGCGAAGGCGGGUAACUGGACUGCAACUGACGCUGAGGCGCGAAAGUGUGGGGAGCAAACAGGAUUAGAUACCCCGGUAGUCCCUGA
This 277-nucleotide ribosomal RNA is filed under the name uncultured prokaryote. RNAcentral's name for it is "partial 16S ribosomal RNA". It matches the Rfam family "Bacterial small subunit ribosomal RNA", at positions 524 to 800 of the family's 1533-position model. The record is from RNAcentral.